UGUGUGUUAGUGGAAGCGUCUGGAAAGGCGCGCGAUACAGGGUGACAGCCCCGUACACAAAAAUGCACAUGCUGUGAGCUCGAUGAGUAGGGCGGGACACGUGGUAUCCUGUCUGAAUAUGGGGGGACCAUCCUCCAAGGCUAAAUACUCCUGACUGACCGAUAGUGAACCAGUACCGUGAGGGAAAGGCGAAAAGAACCCCGGCGAGGGGAGUGAAAAAGAACCUGAAACCGUGUACGUACAAGCAGUGGGAGCCUCUUUAUGGGGUGACUGCGUACCUUUUGUAUAAUGGGUCAGCGACUUAUAUUCUGUAGCAAGGUUAACCGAAUAGGGGAGCCGAAGGGAAACCGAGUCUUAACUGGGCGUUAAGUUGCAGGGUAUAGACCCGAAACCCGGUGAUCUAGCCAUGGGCAGGUUGAAGGUUGGGUAACACUAACUGGAGGACCGAACCGACUAAUGUUGAAAAAUUAGCGGAUGACUUGUGGCUGGGGGUGAAAGGCCAAUCAAACCGGGAGAUAGCUGGUUCUCCCCGAAAGCUAUUUAGGUAGCGCCUCGUGAAUUCAUCUCCGGGGGUAGAGCACUGUUUCGGCAAGGGGGUCAUCCCGACUUACCAACCCGAUGCAAACUGCGAAUACCGGAGAAUGUUAUCACGGGAGACACACGGCGGGUGCUAACGUCCGUCGUGAAGAGGGAAACAACCCAGACCGCCAGCUAAGGUCCCAAAGUCAUGGUUAAGUGGGAAACGAUGUGGGAAGGCCCAGACAGCCAGGAUGUUGGCUUAGAAGCAGCCAUCAUUUAAAGAAAGCGUAAUAGCUCACUGGUCGAGUCGGCCUGCGCGGAAGAUGUAACGGGGCUAAACCAUGCACCGAAGCUGCGGCAGCGACGCUUAUGCGUUGUUGGGUAGGGGAGCGUUCUGUAAGCCUGCGAAGGUGUACUGUGAGGUAUGCUGGAGGUAUCAGAAGUGCGAAUGCUGACAUAAGUAACGAUAAAGCGGGUGAAAAGCCCGCUCGCCGGAAGACCAAGGGUUCCUGUCCAACGUUAAUCGGGGCAGGGUGAGUCGACCCCUAAGGCGAGGCCGAAAGGCGUAGUCGAUGGGAAACAGGUUAAUAUUCCUGUACUUGGUGUUACUGCGAAGGGGGGACGGAGAAGGCUAUGUUGGCCGGGCGACGGUUGUC
This 1175-nucleotide ribosomal RNA is filed under the name Escherichia coli. Its description in RNAcentral is "partial 23S ribosomal RNA". It matches the Rfam family "Bacterial large subunit ribosomal RNA", at positions 323 to 1506 of the family's 2925-position model. The record is from RNAcentral. Lineage: Bacteria; Pseudomonadati; Pseudomonadota; Gammaproteobacteria; Enterobacterales; Enterobacteriaceae.